RNA transcript from Oryza brachyantha (malo sina), 1409 nucleotides. It is a transcript of the gene named beta-1,3-galactosyltransferase pvg3-like, with no coding region annotated. The record is from RefSeq and is a predicted model, not a curated record. The transcript has a single exon. NCBI's taxonomy places the organism in Eukaryota, Viridiplantae, Streptophyta, Magnoliopsida, Poales, Poaceae.
AUGGCGCUUCCUCUCAAGCCGGCAAAAACACCGGCGAUCCGCCUCCCCCCUAGCACCAUAUCACUCGCGCUGCCCACUUGCACGCAUUGCAGUUCAGAGCACUCUCUGAAUCUCGAGUGGAAUUCUUGAAUCGACGACGACGACGACGGCGACGGCGACUGUACGUGUCGAGCUCUUGCUAUCUUGCCUGUGAUGCCGCCGGCGCCGAGCGGUUUGCUCAAGCCGGCGAACGGCUCUAAGCAUGAGGCCGCCGCCAUGGCGAGGAAGCACGGCUUCCCCAAGCUGUCGGCGUCCAGCAAGGCGCUGGUACUGCUGCCGCUGCUGCUCCUGGGGUUCAUCUACCUCUUCGUCUACCCCAAGGAGUUCGAGCUGCAGGCGCUCAUGAGCUCCUGCAGCCCGCCGCUGGGCGCCUACACGGCGGCACCGCGGCGGCUCGCCGGGGAGCCCCCCGCGUCGCGGAAGCCCGAUUUCCGCCUCCUCAUCGGCGUGCUCACCCGCGCCGACAACUACGAGCGGCGGCACCUCCUCCGCAUGGUGUACGGCCUCCAGCUCGCGGCCGGCGACCUCACCGCGCACGUCGACGUCCGCUUCGUCUUCUGCCGCCUCUACAAGGACGACCAGCGGGUGCUCGUCCCGCUCGAGAUCCUCCGCCACGGCGACGUCAUCAUCCUCGACGAGUGCGAGGAGAACCUCAACGGCGGCAAGACCUACACCUUCUUCUCCGCGGCGGCGCGGCUGUACCGCGACGAGCCGUACGACUACGUGAUGAAGGCCGACGACGACAUCUUCCUCCGGCUGCCGAGGCUGCUCGAGUCGCUGGCGGCGAUGCCGCGCGACGACGCCUACUACGGCGCCACCAUCCCGUGCGACAGCAUGGACCCGUUCCGGGAGUACAUGUCCGGCAUGGCGUACGCGCUGUCGUGGGACCUCGUCGAGUGGGUGGCCACCUCCGACGUGCCGCGCAACCGCACCGUCGGGCCGGAGGACAGGAUGACGGGGCAGUGGCUGCGGCUGGGUGGGAAGGGGAAGAACCGGUUCAACGCCAAGCCGGCUAUGUACGACUACCCGCUGCCGGCGCCGGUGGACAAGUGCUCGCACGAGUUCGUGCCGGACACCAUCGCCGUCCACCGGCUCAAGGACAACCCGCGAUGGGCGGCGACGCUUGAGUACUUCAACUUCACCGCUGGCCUUGAGCCGUCCAAGUUCUACAAGAUCGACUAGCGGAGGAGAGGAUCGAUGGGAGUACAUGACUCGUCUUCUUGGUUAAUUUUGGGAGUUUGAUAAAUGAUAAAGAUUUCUAUAUAUAUAUAUAUGUAUUUUUUUUGGCAUUUUCAGAAAUUAUUUCCCCUUCAGCCCCUUCUCUUCGGUGUAUGUUGAAUGAUGAACACUUGAUUCAAAUAUACAGAUGA